Molecule: transfer RNA, 78 nt
Filed under: Salmonella phage 5
Lineage: Duplodnaviria; Heunggongvirae; Uroviricota; Caudoviricetes; Demerecviridae
Description: transfer RNA-Pro (UGG)
Source: RNAcentral
CAGGGUAAGGGCGAUAAGGUACGCCACCUCGUUUGGGGCGAGGAAAUCUUUAGAGUUCGAAUCUCUAUACCCUGACCA